AUGGGUACCAAAACCAUCAUCUCCCUAGACAUCCUCCUCUGCACUCCAAUCUCAAAGACCUCCCCAUUAAUCAAAAGUUCCACCUUCAAUUUUAUUAAUUCAACGUUUGAUACGAAGAACAAAAAUAUGAAAGUUACUACAUCCACUACAAUAGCCUAUCUAAAGAGGUUACACAGGUGCAGAAGGUUAAUUCUCCCUUCCUAUCUAAUAGAACAGCAUGGAAUAUCUGUCAUACCAUCCUUUAUACACGUGAGAAGGAAAGCAAGCUUCCAAGGAAUUGAACCAUUGAGGCCACCAUAA
This is a non-coding RNA of Vicia faba (fava bean), 300 nucleotides long. Lineage: Eukaryota; Viridiplantae; Streptophyta; Magnoliopsida; Fabales; Fabaceae. The record is from the annotation of a GenBank genome assembly.